This is a long non-coding RNA of Terrapene triunguis (Three-toed box turtle), 605 nucleotides long. RefSeq lists it as uncharacterized. The record is from RefSeq and is a predicted model, not a curated record. NCBI's taxonomy places the organism in Eukaryota, Metazoa, Chordata, Testudines, Emydidae. The transcript has 3 exons.
GAAGAGGGUUGUGGGUGUAGUGGAGGCAGAGAGGGGGAUUGGAGGAAAUGCACAUGGGUGUGUGACAUGGGGGUCAGCAAGAGAGAUGGGAGUAGGAAGCAGGGACACCUUAUUCCAAGUCUAGCCUCUGGAUCUCACUGAGCCACUGUGCCCCCCCCCCCGUGCUGUGUAACACAGUUCCUAUUGAUAGUGUAUGUUGGCCCUUAGCUCUUUUUCAGGGGUUUAGCUGGUUUAUAGCAUCAGUGGAUGCCAUGUUGUGCCCUAGUGCCUGCAGCAUGGUGGUUUUUGUAGCACAGAUGGAAUGAGGCAUUUUGGUAAGUGGAGUGGAGAUGAAGGGUGAUAUGCCCUCACAAGCAAUGAGAGAGGGUUUACCUCUCCAUUGCCUAAAUGAAGGAACAAUUUCCACCUCCGUCUUGGAUUGUACUGGGGCUAAGGUGCAUCAAAUCCAUUUCUGGUGGCGCAGCUCAUGUGAGAGGAUUUGACUGGAAGAUUUCACCGUAAUAAAGGAGCAGGAUGCCAUCACUUCAGCUUGACUAUCCCUGUAUGUAGUCUUCUAACUUGUAGAAUGUGGCUUUGCCUAAACACAUGAAUAAAAUCUAAUUUUC